AAACAAGCAACAAACACGUCAAACAACAAUCCAAAACCAAAAUAAUAAUGUUCAAUCCAAUUAUACAGUCCAAAAAUAAAAUGCAAGAAUAUAAAUCCUAUUCUAAGCUAGUCCUAGACUAAGCUCCAAUGCUUCACCCGAUGCCUCGGGCCUUGAUCACGAACCUCCUUCGAAGACAUAAUACAUCGGGAUAUUCCCCGGUGAAUGAAUACAUGAAAUCUCGGGGCAUUCCCUGGCCAAACGAAUACACUCGAAUCAAAUACGAUAAACUAGGAAGAAAUAUUCGCACGCAUAUUCAAACAUUCAACCAAAACACAAGUUCUAAAUUUGCUUAUCCGAACCUACAUUUGCCUAUCCGACUAUCAUGAUACUAUCACGUUCCGACAAUAUUCAUGCUUUUCGAAUUUAAACAAAGCAAUAAUAAAUCAAAGUUUGUUUAAAUUAACCCCUUUUAAUCAACUUCUCAGUUCCACCCCCAACUAUCAAUUCUAAUCCUUCAUGAGAUAUUAUUUCAUCGCACAAUUCAUAAUCAAUCCAUAAUUAAAGAAAUCAACCACCAAAUCAAAACAAACAAUAAUUCAUAUCAUCAUUGAUCAACCAACACACUCUAUCCAAUUCAAAGCAUUGAACAUGACAAACGACGAAAUAAAAAAAAAGAGUAGAAUUGGACCUCAAUGCCGUUUUCAAGUAUCAUUCAAUUAAACGAGAUAAAAUCCGCACCGGAACCUCCGAUCAAACCUCAACCAACGAAUUCAACAUGAACUCGUCAACUCGACUAUCUACCAAACCCGAAACGCAGAAUAUUCACGAAAUGCAAUCCAAACAGCAAUCUACGGGCAUGAAUAAACUAACCCAAGAAUCACAAAUCACAAGAAAAACUGAAGAACCCAUGUGCCUGUAGCUCUGGCGAUCUCGACCGGUAACUAGAAUCAAUGAAACAAGUUAGAAUCCGGCGACCUUAACGUUCUCCGGCAGAAUCUCGUCUAAAACCAAGAAAAAAUGAAAAGAUUUUGGGGAAUUUUGAGGGCUGGGGGGUCGCUGUUUUGCAUCGCCGGAGCUCCGACGGGCUCAAACACAGCGAGAACCAACGAGAACGGAUCGGAUCUCGACUUCUCUCAGGCGAAACUCACCGAAGCAGUACCCCUUUUCCGAUUCUCCCCUUCUCUCUCAGAUCUCUGCUUUCUCUCUACCUCUCUCAAUUGAUCUCUCUCCGUUUCUUUCUAACUCAUGAUUUCCUUUUCCGAUCUCUUGCCCGUCUCCCAUUUCUCCAUUCUACUGUGUGUUGUGUGUUUUGUGUUUGUUCAUUUCCGGCCAGCUCUGUGUGGAUUCGUGUGUAUGUGAUGAGAAUUUCAGUGAAUGUGAAUAUGAGUCGGUGGUGGGUAUUGUGUGUGAUAUGUGUGAAAAUUGAGAGAAUGUUGUUUGAGAAGAAGGUGAAUUCUUCUUUUUUUUUCGUGUGCUGUGAGUGUGAGUGGAGAGAGUAUUUUUUUUUUGUCCGGUUCCUUUUUUCUGUGUGUGAAG
Molecule: long non-coding RNA, 1518 nt
Filed under: Capsicum annuum
Lineage: Eukaryota; Viridiplantae; Streptophyta; Magnoliopsida; Solanales; Solanaceae
Description: long non-coding RNA (CANN_LNC022340)
Source: RNAcentral